AUGGGGAUUGGGGAUGCAUCACCUAGUGAAAACCAGUCUGCACACAAGGAAAAGAGGGAUGAGACCACGCCACUUCUCCCGCUCAAGGCGGAAGAGGAAGAUGGGAUCCAUGAGUUCAAUGGAGCGUCUUUCUCGGGUGCAGUUUUCAAUCUGUCGACAACCAUUGUGGGGGCUGGAAUUAUGGCCCUGCCUGCAAGUAUCAAGAUGCUAGGCAUUAUCCCUGGUAUUUUGAUGAUCAUCCUUGUGGCAUUGCUCACUGAGGCAUCAAUUGACAUGAUGGUCAGGUGCAGCCACCAGGCCAAGAUUACAUCCUAUGGCUGGCUGAUGGGUGACUCUUUUGGUCAAUGGGGGAGGAUUGUGCUGCAAGCAUCUGUGGUCAUAAACAACAUUGGCGUCAUGAUUGUAUACAUGAUUAUCAUCAGUGAUGUGCUAUCAGGAACAUCUACAACUGGUGUUCAUCACCGGGGUAUCUUUGAGGGGUGGUUUGGUCCUCAUUUGUGGAAUUCUCGUCCAGUUGUUCUCCUUGCCACAACUAUUUUUGUGUUUGCUCCAUUGGUGAGCUUUAAGCGAUUGGAUUCAUUGAGAUACACAUCUGCUCUUUCAGUUGCCCUUGCUGUGGUUUUUGUUGUCAUCACUGCUGGAAUUGCUAUUCUCAGACUGAUAGAAGGGACCGCGGAGAUUCCCAAACUCUUCCCUGAGAUACAUGAAAUCAAUUCCAUCUGGGAACUCUUUACAGCUGUGCCGGUUCUUGUCACUGCCUACAUUUGCCACUACAAUGUUCACAGCAUUGAUAACGAGCUGGAAGAUAGAAGUCAGACUAAGCCAAUUGUGCGAACUUCACUGGCUCUCUGUUCAAGUGUUUAUGUUGCAACAAGCUUCUUUGCAUAUCUCCUCUUUGGCGAGGGUACCCUCUCCGAUGUGCUCGCCAAUUUUGACUCCGACCUUCAUAUUCCAUUCAGCUCUGUCUUCAAUGAUAUAGUUAGAGUGAGCUAUGUAGUCCAUGUCAUGCUCGUUUUCCCUAUAGUCUUCUUUGCCCUUAGGCUCAACCUGGAUGGACUCCUCUUCCCCACCUCAAGGCACAUUUCUCAUGACAACCGAAGGUUUACCAUUAUCACCGUCUCACUCCUUGUUGUGAUUUAUCUUGCUGCCAACUUCAUACCAAGCAUCUGGGAUGCGUUCCAGUUCACUGGUGCUACAGCUGCUGUCCUGAUUGGUUUCAUCUUUCCUGCCAUGAUCAUACUCAGGGAUUCUUAUGGGAUUGCAACCAAGCGCGACAAGGUUUUAGCUGUAACCAUGAUUGUGCUUGCUGUGCUCUCCAAUUCAGUGGCCCUGUACAGCGAUGCGAUGAGCAUCUUCUACAGGAAGGUGGAGGCCUAG
RNAcentral lists this ribosomal RNA (1377 nucleotides) under Triticum aestivum (bread wheat). RNAcentral's name for it is "partial small subunit ribosomal RNA". The record is from RNAcentral. Lineage: Eukaryota; Viridiplantae; Streptophyta; Magnoliopsida; Poales; Poaceae.